CCUUCGAUAGCUCAGUUGGUAGAGCGGUGGACUGUAGAUUUGGAGUGUCAUAUCACGGGGCAUCAAUAGUAAUCCAUAGGUCGCUGGUUCAAAUCCGGCUCGAAGGA
RNAcentral lists this transfer RNA (107 nucleotides) under Culex quinquefasciatus (southern house mosquito). It matches the Rfam family "tRNA". From Rfam's summary of the family: Transfer RNA (tRNA) molecules are approximately 80 nucleotides in length. Their secondary structure includes four short double-helical elements and three loops (D, anti-codon, and T loops). The record is from Rfam by way of RNAcentral. Lineage: Eukaryota; Metazoa; Arthropoda; Insecta; Diptera; Culicidae.